AUAUUCGUCUUGUUAAAGUAAAAUAUCCUCGUCGUCGUCAGAGAAUUAAAUUUUGGAAUAUACAAACCCAACUCUAAUGUAAAAGUAGAUACGCCCGUGUACGUAUCUGUCGUAGUCUCGUAGCAUGCACAAGUAGUACGUAAAGUUUUUUAACACCUCGGUUGUAUUGAUAGCUUACCAAGUAUCCCCGGCUCUGCAUACUACUUUGAAUUGAUGGGGGCCGAAUUUAGCACGUGAAAAACAACAGCACAGGAGACAUUUUGAAUUCGAUCGUUUGGCCAAGCAUUUAAUCUAGAAAACAACAAGAGCUCGGCGAAAAUUUCGGGCCCCUCCUCGAUUAAAACCGGUCCCAACUUACACCGUCAUUGAAGAGAUGAGCUUUUUGUGGCCACAAAAAUUAGUCAAAGGUCUAGCCAAGACGUGUCUCACCAAAUGAGUGAAGGCAAAGACGUGUCUCGCCAAAUAACAGCACGCUGGCUGAAGACAUAAAAUAUGAUUCUAAUUUGCCAACUCAUGCCGAAGAUCACGUGCAUCGAUGAUUUAUGUAAUUUGUUCUUAAUGAAUUUUUAACAUAAAAAAUUAGUCAAAAACAACCCUUAAAAAUGAUACUAUAUUAAUGAUUUAUGUCAUUUCAAAACGUAAUGGUCUUGAUUAAUGAGUUUUGCAACUCAAAAUAGUAUUACAAUUCUUUCUCCCUAAGACUUCUCGCUCUCAUGAGAGUCUCUCGUAAUAGUAAAAAUAAUUAAAAUUAAAUAAAACGAUAACAUGUCGUUUUUUAAACGAAAAAGGUUAUUAGUAUUAAACAUGUCGCUUUUUAUUGCCGUCAAUGUUCAAAUUGUGGUCUGAGUUAAGAAAAUAACAACUUUUUAACCAAUUUUUUUUUUUUUGGCCUUGCAUAUUUAUUUUUAUGAAAUGUGAAGCAAAAUGAGCACGCAGGUUAUGGGAUGAGAGAAUUCCUACUAUUCUCUUUUCUUUUCAUUUUUCAAAUAAUUAUAAAAGAAAAACAACUAGUUCAGCUCGUCAUAUGGAGAAGUGUAAAUUAAUCUAAUACAAAUAAAAUAAAUCAAAACCAUCACUAUCCCAUGAUCUAGUUACUAAAUAUACAUAAAUAUAUCGUAACCAUGCUAACCAAUCAAUUGAACGCUUAAGUUCACCUGACAAAGUAAACAUCUAAAAAAAUAUAUUUUAAAAUGUUCGGAAACAAGUGGCAAAUAAUCAUCAUCAUUCGUUUACGUGAAUGAGAUGUAGAUGAUAAAAAGUAAAUAAACAAUAUGAUUGAAUUGGUAUUCAUUUUAUUGUUUCUCAAUUUCUCUUCUCAAAUAAAAGAUUUUUAAUUUGCUUCUAUUUCUUUCUCUUCAUCCAUUUUUACAACUAAUUUGGUUUUGCUUCUCUCUCCUACCUCUUGUUGUAAAACUUCAUGACAUAAAAAUAGAUAAUGAUAUAACAACAAAUUCCUUUAUAUAAACCGAUGUGAUAUAAUAUGAUUAAUCAAAUGAAACCAUCACGUGAACUAUAUGAUUUAUUUUCAGUCAAUUAAUCAUAUAAUGAUACAUCAGUUUAUAUAAAAAUAAUUUGUACAAAAAUGUGUAGAUUGAUGUAGUUUAUCUCUCAUUAAAAUAGACAUGCAUACGUCGUCAAUUGAAAUGUGAGUUCUAAUUACACCAACUCAUUUUAGACACAAUGCUUCCACGGUGGUCUGACCAUGGAUUUAUAGUCAUAAACUAUAAGAAAUGUGACAUUAUUCUUGUGCAUUAAUUGUGAGCAUCACAAUGGAAAUCGUCAGUGUAAUAAUCAGUCAUAUUUUUCAAGUUAAUUAAUACGUAAAAUAACUGACUCUAAAAUCGAGGAAUUAAUUUGUGGGCUGAUGAAGGCCACAGAGUCCAGGUUUUUUAUGAGCCCAUUUUGUCCAAUUCUAAACUUUUAGCUUUUGACCAAAAUCAGUUAAUCAACCCUCACGCAAGAUGUUUUAAUGCGUUUUUUUUUCUUCUCAACCACGAGGUGGUCCUGAGUAGGCUCCAACUAUCGAAGAUACCUUUAAAUCUAUAUCACAACCCACACUAAUCCUCACUCGCACUGGAUCGGCCCGUAAGGGAUAAAGUGCUGGUCAAAGUGGUGAUUUCAUACGAGAGCGGGGUUUUAAUGCGUUUUUAAUGAUAAGAGAAGCUCAUCAUCUCUCUCCAAAUAAUAUUGAGCGUCCACCAAUCUCGUAUCUUUUGUAUUAACUCGAGAGAUUGUACUAAUUAAAGCAACUAUAAGACCCUAAUGUUUUAAUAUGUACCUUUCUUUUUGAUAAAUAAAGUACCGAAUCUCAAUUCCAUUACCCAUUUUUUACCUCGUCUAAAUAGAUUGUUUGCUACUCACAAAUUAAAUGGAUUCAUUUGGAUUAGAUUUAUUACUGACCUCUUACUUUUAGUGCAUGAAGUUGCAUUACUCUUGGCCAAGGAAAAAAUGAAAUAUUCUUUAGUAAUUAAUUAAGGACGUAGGGUUUACUUUCUUGAUUGAAAAAAUGAAUAGACCUUAAUUGAUUUAAAAUCUAAAUAAAUCAUGGUCCAAUGAACUGUGUCCAUAGUUUAUGAUCUUGUAUAUUUUAUGCACAAAGUUAUAUUUAUAGAUAAGAGAAUCCUUGAUAAUUUAAAUUAGAAAAAAAAUUAAUAUGAUAGGGUUUAACUGUUUAAGUGGGUGUGUAAGUAAAUAAAAUAAUUGAGUAAGAGUAUAUUGGAGAAGAGAAUUUAGCAAACCGUUUUAAAAUUUUUACAUUAAAAAAAAGGACAAGAUUCUCUCAUUAUCUUUUUUUUUCCUCCAUGCAUCUCUUUGUUUAAUGAGUUGUUAAGAAUGAAUUUUGUUUUUUUUUUUUAACUUUAUGUUUAAUUUUUUCAUUAGCAUAUAAAAAGAAAGGAGAGGCAAGUAGAAAAAAAUAAAUGAGGAGAAAAUCCUAAUCUAUUUUUUAUUCUAUUAAAAAUAUCUUAAAAUCUCCUUUACGACAAAAAAAAAAAAACUAUUUGUCCAACUUAAAUAAGUUGUCCUUAGGUCGAAAAAUAAACAAUUGUAUCUAAAACUUUAAUUACUAAUACCCACCCUUUCUAACUACAAUAUAAAUUGAGAUACUGCACAUGCAUGACAAUUUAUUGGGUUGGGCUCGAGCUUGGGCAUUAAUAAAGGGUUCGAGUCCUAUAAAAAACCCAAUGUUUCACCUUCAGGCCCGAUUGUAAUUGGGUCAGGUCGGGCUUGGACAAACCAAACAUUUUUUUAAUUUUUUUUAAUAUUUAA
RNAcentral lists this long non-coding RNA (3267 nucleotides) under Citrus x clementina. RNAcentral describes it as "Citrus clementina (C. clementina) long non-coding RNA (CCLE_LNC004385)". Lineage: Eukaryota; Viridiplantae; Streptophyta; Magnoliopsida; Sapindales; Rutaceae. The record is from RNAcentral.